This 442-nucleotide ribosomal RNA is filed under the name uncultured bacterium. Its description in RNAcentral is "partial 16S ribosomal RNA". It matches the Rfam family "Bacterial small subunit ribosomal RNA", at positions 338 to 795 of the family's 1533-position model. The record is from RNAcentral.
CCUACGGGUGACAGCAGUGGGGAAUAUUGGGCAAUGGGCGCAAGCCUGACCCAGCAACGCCGCGUGAAGGAAGAAGGCUUUCGGGUUGUAAACUUCUUUUGGCAGGGAAGAGUAGAAGACGGUACCUGACGAAUAAGCCACGGCUAACUACGUGCCAGCAGCCGCGGUAAUACGUAGGUGGCAAGCGUUGUCCGGAUUUACUGGGUGUAAAGGGCGUGUAGCCGGGUUGACAAGUCAGGUGUGAAAUCCUGCGGCUUAACCGCAGAACUGCAUUUGAAACUGUUGAUCUUGAGUACUGGAGAGGCAGAUGGAAUUCCUAGUGUAGCGGUGAAAUGCGUAGAUAUUAGGAGGAACACCAGUUGCGAAGGCGGUCUGCUGGACAGCAACUGACGGUGAGGCGCGAAAGCGUGGGGAGCAAACAGGAUUAGAUACCCCUGUAGUC